RNAcentral lists this ribosomal RNA (914 nucleotides) under uncultured archaeon. RNAcentral describes it as "bacterial SSU rRNA". It matches the Rfam family "Archaeal small subunit ribosomal RNA", at positions 1 to 922 of the family's 1478-position model. The record is from RNAcentral.
UUCCGGUUGAUCCUGCCGGACCUGACUGCUAUCGGAUUGAUACUAAGCCAUGCGAGUCAUUGUAGCAAUACAAGGCAUACGGCUCAGUAACGCGUAGUCAACCUAACCUAUGGACGGGAAUAACCUCGGGAAACUGAGAAUAAUGCCCGAUAGAACAUUAUACCUGGAAUGGUUUAUGUUCCAAAUGAUUUAUCGCCGUAGGAUGGGACUGCGGCCUAUCAGUUUGUUGGUGAGGUAAUGGCCCACCAAGACUAUUACAGGUACGGGCUCUGAGAGGAGUAGCCCGGAGAUGGGUACUGAGACACGGACCCAGGCCCUAUGGGGCGCAGCAGGCGAGAAAACUUUGCAAUGUGCGAAAGCACGACAAGGUUAAUCCGAGUGAUUUCUGCUAAAGAAAUCUUUUGUUAGUCCUAGAAACACUAACGAAUAAGGGGUGGGCAAGUUCUGGUGUCAGCCGCCGCGGUAAAACCAGCACCUCAAGUGGUCAGGAUGAUUAUUGGGCCUAAAGCAUCCGUAGCCGGCUCUGUAAGUUUUCGGUUAAAUCUGUACGCUCAACGUACAGGCUGCCGGGAAUACUGCAUAGCUAGGGAGUGGGAGAAGUAGACGGUACUCGGUAGGAAGUGGUAAAAUGCUUUGAUCUAUCGAUGACCACCUGUGGCGAAGGCGGUCUACUAGAACACGUCCGACGGUGAGGGAUGAAAGCUGGGGGAGCAAACCGGAUUAGAUACCCGGGUAGUCCCAGCUGUAAACUAUGCAAACUCAGUGAUGCAUUGGCUUGUGGCCAAUGCAGUGCUGCAGGGAAGCCGUUAAGUUUGCCGCCUGGGAAGUACGUACGCAAGUAUGAAACUUAAAGGAAUUGGCGGGGGAGCACCACAAGGGGUGAAGCCUGCGGUUCAAUUGGAAUCAACGCCGGG